AACGAACGCUGGCGGCAGGCUUAACACAUGCAAGUCGAGCGCCCCGCAAGGGGAGCGGCAGACGGGUGAGUAACGCGUGGGAAUCUACCGUGCCCUACGGAAUAACGCAUGGAAACGUGUGCUAAUACCGUAUACGCCCUACGGGGGAAAGAUUUAUCGGGGUAUGAUGAGCCCGCGUUGGAUUAGCUAGUUGGUGGGGUAAAGGCCUACCAAGGCGACGAUCCAUAGCUGGUCUGAGAGGAUGAUCAGCCACAUUGGGACUGAGACACGGCCCAAACUCCUACGGGAGGAAGCAGUGGGGAAUAUUGGACAAUGGGCGCAAGCCUGAUCCAGCCAUGCCGCGUGAGUGAUGAAGGUCUUAGGAUUGUAAAGCUCUUUCACCGGUGAAGAUAAUGACGGUAACCGGAGAAGAAGCCCCGGCUAACUUCGUGCCAGCAGCCGCCGCAG
This 447-nucleotide ribosomal RNA is filed under the name uncultured bacterium. RNAcentral's name for it is "partial 16S ribosomal RNA". It matches the Rfam family "Bacterial small subunit ribosomal RNA", at positions 29 to 523 of the family's 1533-position model. The record is from RNAcentral.